CCCUCCUACAAAGGCGUGUCGGUGGUUUCCUGUCCUUGGACACGUAAGAAUUGGAGGCAAAAAGAUGUGGACUUGGAGAAGUCUGGAGCCCACUUGCUCCCCGCAGUCUCAAGAUCAUCCUUUCCCACACAG
Dasypus novemcinctus (nine-banded armadillo) is the source of this 132-nucleotide small nucleolar RNA. NCBI's taxonomy places the organism in Eukaryota, Metazoa, Chordata, Mammalia, Cingulata, Dasypodidae. The record is from Ensembl.